RNAcentral lists this ribosomal RNA (326 nucleotides) under uncultured Pseudomonadota bacterium. RNAcentral describes it as "bacterial SSU rRNA". It matches the Rfam family "Bacterial small subunit ribosomal RNA", at positions 494 to 819 of the family's 1533-position model. The record is from RNAcentral. Lineage: Bacteria; Pseudomonadati; Pseudomonadota.
CGGCUAACUUCGUGCCAGCAGCCGCGGUAAUACGAAGGGGGCUAGCGUUGUUCGGAAUUACUGGGCGUAAAGGGCGCGUAGGCGGUUCGUUAAGUCAGGUGUGAAAUCCCCGGGCUCAACUCGGAGGCUGCCCUCGAAACUGGAGUGCUUGAGUGCGGGAGAGGUGAGUGGAAUUCCCGGUGUAGAGGUGAAAUGCGUAGAUAUUGGGAGGAACACCUGUGGCGAAGGCGGCUCACUGGACCGUUACUGACGCUGAGGCACGAAAGCGUGGGGAGCAAACAGGAUUAGAUACCCUGGUAGUCCACGCCGUAAACGAUGCAUGCUUG